Long non-coding RNA from Scatophagus argus, 1532 nucleotides. RefSeq lists it as uncharacterized. The transcript is spliced from 4 exons. NCBI's taxonomy places the organism in Eukaryota, Metazoa, Chordata, Actinopteri, Scatophagidae. The record is from RefSeq and is a predicted model, not a curated record.
UGUUUUCUGUUGAUGACUAGAAUUUUCCGUUCAGUUACAGAGAUUUUCCAUUGCCCACACAGUGAAAGACAAACAUCCCCAACUGCAUGAUUCCCUUCAUUUUCAUACCUGCAGCCAUCUUUAGAUGAGAGAACAAGCCAAAGAACUCCAAACCAUCUUUAUCUCCUAAGAACUUCAUCCAUAGCAGCAGGUCAGCAGCGAGAGCCUGUUGAUAUGUAAUAUUCCCACUACGACAGAUUUUGCGAUUGAGAGGAAAAGUGACAGCUCUUACAUGUGCUAGGAGAGACCAGCAUCAAAAGACGACACACUCCUGUGCAGCUGCUUGUUGCCGACAUCCCUCACCCUUGUCUUCCAUCUCUUAAAACUGACAGAAAACAGAGAGGGUGAGGAAAAAGCCUGUUUGACUGUAGACAAGCCCUAGAGGCUGCUACUGAACGCUGUCUGGCAAACAAGAACAAACUGAUACAAAAGGUAAACCAGAGAAUCUGAAGGAGAAUGAGACAAGCUGUUGAUGUGUAUCCUUCUGUCAGGUGGUGGAGGAUCGGAUCUUGUGAUGUUCCCAACCUAAUAUGGCCAGGUCAGGACUAUCAGCUGAGAAUCAGGUGCUCGCUAAAUAUUUAGGAGGAUGAAGACUUUGUGCUGGGUGGAAGCACUCAUCAUAAGGUUCGGCUCAAGGCUGCCUGUGUCUUGUGUGGUGGAAUGGUGGAAUGUAACUAUGUACAAAUCCUGUGUUUAAGUGAAAUUUUAUAUACAUUUUAUACUUCUUAUCCAUUACACUUCAGAAGGAAAUAUUGUAUGUUUUUCUUCGCAGCAUUUGAAGGCUUUAAUUACUGUGUUUUUUUGUUUGUUUGUUUUUUAACAAAGAUUUUAAAGUAAAACAUGUCAUGAUCUUAAACAUGGCUGAUCACGAUUAAACUACUCAACAGUAUAUUAAAUUAUCUCAACCUUGAUAGCAUUAAAUGUUGCUUACAUGAACAUUCAUCCUCACAAAUAGUCAAACAACAUGUAUUAACAUUAUGAACAGUGUCAUUUUAAUAAUGAGUCCUUUUAGGUACUCAAAGUACUGUAAAACACUGUGUACUGCUCUGUACUUUUACCGAAGUAAAAUUUUGAAUGGGAGUAAGUAUUUUCUCACUGUGUCUUUUACUACUGCUGCUACUUUUACUAAAGUCAAAGAGCUAUAUAUAUACACUUCUUCCACUCUGUUUUCUCUCUCCUCAAACCACUUCGUGCUCGCUCUUUGUCUUCUUUGUGUCUUUUUUGUUUCACCGCUGUUUUCCUCUUUUCUGCAAAUGAUCGCAUCUAGGCAUCCUAGAGAUUUUGUGUAGGCAGAAAAUAUUCUGCGUAGGAAGAAAUAGUUUUAAAAACAAAGGCCUUCAGUUCUCUAGAAGUAUUUCAAAUGUCCUUUUAACCAUUUGUAAUGUUAGAGGUGAGAGGCAUGUUGCUUAUUUCUAAUCGUUCUCAUUGUUAAUAACUAAAGAUUUCUUUCACUGAGUAAUUUGUUGCUGAAAAGUUUUUUUUUUAUUUCACAG